GAGGACGAACGCUGGCGGCGCGCCUAACACAUGCAAGUCGAACGAGAGAUGAGGAGCUUGCUCUUCAGAUCGAGUGGCGAACGGGUGAGUAACGCGUGAGGAACCUGCCUCAAAGAGGGGGACAACAGUUGGAAACGACUGCUAAUACCGCAUAAGCCCACGGCUCGGCAUCGAGCAGGGGGAAAAGGAGCAAUCCGCUUUGAGAUGGCCUCGCGUCCGAUUAGCUAGUUGGUGAGGUAACGGCCCACCAAGGCGACGAUCGGUAGCCGGACUGAGAGGAUGACCAGCCACACUGGGACUGAGACACGGCCCAGACUCCUACGGGAGGCAGCAGUGGGGAAUAUUGGGCAAUGGAGGAAACUCUGACCCAGCAACGCCGCGUGGAGGAAGAAGGUUUUCGGAUCGUAAACUCCUGUCCUUGGAGACGAGUAGAAGACGGUGUCCAAGGAGGAAGCCCCGGCUAACUACGUG
RNAcentral lists this ribosomal RNA (471 nucleotides) under uncultured bacterium. Its description in RNAcentral is "bacterial SSU rRNA". It matches the Rfam family "Bacterial small subunit ribosomal RNA", at positions 26 to 507 of the family's 1533-position model. The record is from RNAcentral.